AACUGUCUCUUCUUGCUGAGAGCUUUUCUUAAAAAACACUUUUACUUACAGGUAAACGCAUGCAUCCAUAUAUAACAUAUACAUACAUAUACACAAAAAUAUAACCGCUAUAAAACGACCACACAACAACUAUAAAAUGGAGAUUGAAUUAAGGCAAUGAUUACUAUCUUUUAGAUACUCCUCUCCACGAGAAGAAAGUUUCAUCUGUUCUUUGUACCACACAUGGGCAUGACACAUCAUACAUCACAAUUAAAGGCAGAUUUUCACAUUUGGAAACCAUGAAACCCUCAGUUAUAAUCAAAUAGAUUGAAUUCCAAUCUGUUAAUUAAAAAGCUCUGUAAGUUGAAGGAAUUAAAUAAAGUAGAAAUACUUUAAAGGAAAUGUUAUCCUUUUAAGGAAAUCUGAACCUUUCUCCUUAUAACCACUACAAUUUUUUCAAACAAAUUAAAAUGGUGCCAGAACCUUAAAGUCCCAUCAUAGCCCAGCAAGACUGUUGCUAUGUCAUUCCAUGGUCCAAAUAGGUUUGCCUCAACCCUCUAGGACAAAAUGUUUUUUAGCUAGAUUUAAGUUUGGUGUCCCUUCCUCACUGUGAUUUAUCUAGGUAAGAUUCAGCAGCAGUCACUAAUAUAAAUGUUUAGUUGUGGGUCCUCCAGCAUGAGCAUAUUUUACUGAAAUUUUUAAUGGCUUUUAUAAAAGAUAGUGGAUGAAUUUGUAUACUGAGUUACAGAGUUUAAUGGGAAGAUACUACUACAUUUAGAGUGAGAACUGGAUUCAAACCUUUCUUCCUAUCUGUUAUCUUAAAUCAUUUAAACUCUUGAGUUUCAAGUUUCUUUGUCUAUAAAAUUGGAAUAUAUGAGAAUAUGAACAAUCAACUGGAGAGAAAACCAACUCUCUACUUAUAAUUCCUACAAAAUACACCAACUUAACUUUUGUAUAAAACUAUACAUUUUAGCCAGUAAUAAUUACGAUAGCACUUUCAAGCUUUGCAAAGGACCUAACAUAUUAUCUCACUUGGUUCUCAAAGGUUCCAAACCCAUGGUGACACUCUCCUUGCCUGUUCCUGGACUUCAGAAAUAUUGCUCUCCAGUUACCGCGGGCUCCUCCUAGACCUUCCUGGCAUAUCCCUCUCCUCCCAAUCCUAAAUUUCUCCAUUUUGUGAAGGUGCCCAGGCUGGCUUGCCUUCAUUUCCCUUCCAGACUUAGUCUUGUUUUCUCUGGACUUCAAUACCAAUGCCCACCCCUGCUUCCCUAUUUCCUACUGCAGUUCCCAGAAA
Molecule: long non-coding RNA, 1273 nt
Filed under: Sarcophilus harrisii (Tasmanian devil)
Lineage: Eukaryota; Metazoa; Chordata; Mammalia; Dasyuromorphia; Dasyuridae
Description: lncRNA (ENSSHAG00000028787.1)
Source: RNAcentral